GCAAACUUGGUCAUUUAGAGGAAGUAAAAGUCGUAACAAGGUUUCCGUAGGUGAACCUGCGGAAGGAUCAUUACCAGGAACCCGUGCCUACCCGGCCGGAUCCUUCAACCACUGUGUACCGAACUCUUCGUUGCCUCGGCGGGUUGGGCGCCCGGCUCUCGAGCCCGGGUCGUCCCCCCUCCUCGCGAGGGAGCCGCCCGCCGCAGGACAUUUCAAAAACCAAUUCGUUGAUGAACGUCUAAUUCAAUUUUGCAAAUGCAAGAAUACAACUUUCAACAAUGGAUCUCUUGGCUCCGGCAUCGAUGAAGAACGCAGC
RNAcentral lists this unclassified non-coding RNA (316 nucleotides) under uncultured fungus. RNAcentral's name for it is "partial contains small subunit ribosomal RNA, internal transcribed spacer 1, and 5.8S ribosomal RNA". The stretch from base 1 to 73 matches the Rfam family "Eukaryotic small subunit ribosomal RNA", at positions 1759 to 1831 of the family's 1831-position model. Lineage: Eukaryota; Fungi. The record is from RNAcentral.